GAUGAACGCUGGCGGCGUGCCUAAUACAUGCCAGUCGAGCGAACAGAUAAGGAGCUUGCUCCUUUGACGUUAGCGGCGGACGGGUGAGUAACACGUGGGUAACCUACCUAUAAGACUGGGAUAACUUCGGGAAACCGGAGCUAAUACCGGAUAACAUUUGGAACCGCAUGGUUCUAAAGUGAAAGAUGGUUUUGCUAUCACUGAUAGAUGGACCCGCGCCGUAUUAGCUAGUUGGUAAGGUAACGGCUUACCAAGGCAACGAUACGUAGCCGACCUGAGAGGGUGAUCGGCCACACUGGAACUGAGACACGGUCCAGACUCCUACGGGAGGCAGCAGUAGGGAAUCUUCCGCAAUGGGCGAAAGCCUGACGGAGCAACGCCGCGUGAGUGAUGAAGGGUUUCGGCUCGUAAAACUCUGUUAUUAGGGAAGAACAAAUGUGUAAGUAACUGUGCACGUCUUGACGGUACCUAAUCAGAAAGCCACGGCUAACUACGUG
Molecule: ribosomal RNA, 497 nt
Filed under: uncultured bacterium
Lineage: Bacteria
Description: partial 16S ribosomal RNA
Rfam family: Bacterial small subunit ribosomal RNA
Source: RNAcentral